AGAGUUUGAUCCUGGCUCAGGAUGAACGCUGGCGGCGUGCCUAACACAUGCAAGUCGAGCGAAGCAUCUGAAAGAAGUUUUCGGACGGAAUUCGGAUGACUGAGCGGCGGACGGGUGAGUAACGCGUGGGUAACCUGCCUCAUACAGGGGGAUAACAGUUAGAAAUGACUGCUAAAACCGCAUAAGCGCACAGUACCGCAUGGUACGGUGUGAAAAACUCCGGUGGUAUGAGAUGGACCCGCGUCUGAUUAGCCAGUUGGCGGGGUAACGGCCCACCAAAGCGACGAUCAGUAGCCGACCUGAGAGGGUGACCGGCCACAUUGGGACUGAGACACGGCCCAAACUCCUACGGGAGGCAGCAGUGGGGAAUAUUGCACAAUGGGGGAAACCCUGAUGCAGCGACGCCGCGUGAGUGAAGAAGUAUUUCGGUAUGUAAAGCUCUAUCAGCAGGGAAGAAGAAAGACGGUACCUGACUAAGAAGCCCCGGCUAACUACGUGCCAGCAGCCGCGGUAAUACGUAGGGGGCAAGCGUUAUCCGGAUUUACUGGGUGUAAAGGGAGCGCAGACGGCGAUGCAAGUCUGAAGUGAAAGCCCGGGGCUCAACCCCGGUACUGCUUUGGAAACUGUAUAGCUAGAGUACUGGAGAGGCAAGUGGAAUUCCUAGUGUAGCGGUGAAAUGCGUAGAUAUUAGGAGGAACACCAGUGGCGAAGGCGGCUUGCUGGACAGUAACUGACGUUGAGGCUCGAAAGCGUGGGGAGCAAACAGGAUUAGAUACCCUGGUAGUCCACGCGGUAAACGA
RNAcentral lists this ribosomal RNA (800 nucleotides) under uncultured bacterium. RNAcentral describes it as "bacterial SSU rRNA". It matches the Rfam family "Bacterial small subunit ribosomal RNA", at positions 8 to 809 of the family's 1533-position model. The record is from RNAcentral.